GACGGAGGGCGCGAGCGUUGUUCGGAAUUACUGGGCGUAAAGCGCGCGCAGGCGGAUGGGCAAGUCGGAAGUGAAAGCCCGGGGCUCAACCCCGGGACUGCUCCCGAUACUGCUUGUCUAGGGACCGGUAGAGGCUGGUGGAAUUGCUGGUGUAGCGGUGGAAUGCGUAGAUAUCAGCAAGAACACCCGUGGCGAAGGCGGCCAGCUGGGCCGGAUCCGACGCUGAGGCGCGAAAGCGUGGGGAGCAAAC
RNAcentral lists this ribosomal RNA (250 nucleotides) under uncultured prokaryote. Its description in RNAcentral is "partial 16S ribosomal RNA". It matches the Rfam family "Bacterial small subunit ribosomal RNA", at positions 524 to 773 of the family's 1533-position model. The record is from RNAcentral.